This 167-nucleotide ribosomal RNA is filed under the name uncultured Escherichia sp. RNAcentral describes it as "partial 16S ribosomal RNA". It matches the Rfam family "Bacterial small subunit ribosomal RNA", at positions 337 to 500 of the family's 1533-position model. The record is from RNAcentral. Lineage: Bacteria; Pseudomonadati; Pseudomonadota; Gammaproteobacteria; Enterobacterales; Enterobacteriaceae.
UCCUACGGGAGGCAGCAGUGGGGAAUAUUGCACAAUGGGCGCAAGCCUGAUGCAGCCAUGCCGCGUGUAUGAAGAAGGCCUUCGGGUUGUAAAGUACUUUCAGCGGGGAGGAAGGGAGUAAAGUUAAUACCUUGCUCAUUGACGUACCGCAGAAGAGCCCCGUCCCU